Molecule: long non-coding RNA, 416 nt
Filed under: Phascolarctos cinereus (koala)
Lineage: Eukaryota; Metazoa; Chordata; Mammalia; Diprotodontia; Phascolarctidae
Description: lncRNA (ENSPCIG00000029182.2)
Source: RNAcentral
GGGACUUUCUCCACUGGAACCACAUUUCAGUAGAGAAUCAGGAAUCAAGAAAAACAAAAAAGGAUCUUCUGGAGCUGGUCCUUGGUUAAUCAAGUUGCAUUUGUCCGAUAAUGGCAUAGAUGGAAGAGGGAAAGAAGGAGAAAGAGGUGUAUUGGAAUUCACUCAACUUUUAACAUACUUUAUAAAAUAUUCUGACCACUUAAAGGAAAUAGAUCUUGGCAAUAAUGUUCUGGGAGAAAUUGCUGCUACUCAUAUACUGGAAGCAUUAAAGGACAGAAACAAAGGUAAACUGCCAAACUUACAAAUUAUAGUCAUCCCACAGAUUUCUUCAGAUACCUUCACAUCCAUCUGGGAAAACAGCAAGAAGUUUGGCUCUGCCCAUAAGAAAAAGAAGAAGGUAAGCAAAGAAUAGUCUA